AGAGUUUGAUCCUGGCUCAGGAUGAACGCUGGCGGCGUGCUUAACACAUGCAAGUCGAACGAAGUCCAUGGAGCUUGCUCCGGAAGACUUAGUGGCGAACGGGUGCGUAACACGUGAGAAACCUGCCCCGGACUUUGGGAUAACAGUUGGAAACGACUGCUAAUACCGAAUACCACCAUUUCCCCGCAUGGGGAGAUGAUGAAAGGUCCGCCGGUCCGGGAGGGUCUCACGGCCUAUCAGCUUGUUGGAGAGGUAACGGCUCACCAAGGCAUCGACGGGUAGCUGGUCUGAGAGGAUGAUCAGCCACACUGGGACUGAGACACGGCCCAGACUCCUACGGGAGGCAGCAGUGGGGAAUCUUGCACAAUGGGCGCAAGCCUGAUGCAGCAACGCCGCGUGCGGGAAGAAGGCCCUAGGGUUGUAAACCGCUUUCAGUAGGGAAGAAAAUGACGGUACCUACAGAAGAAGGUGCGGCCAACUACGUGCCAGCAGCCGCGGUAACACGUAGGCACCAAGCGUUAUCCGGAUUUAUUGGGCGUAAAGAGCUCGUAGGCGGUUCAGUCAGUCGGGUGUGAAAACUUGAGGCUUAACCUCAAGAGGUCACUCGAUACUACUGUGACUAGAGUGCGGUAGGGGAGCGGGGAAUUCCUGGUGUAGCGGUGAAAUGCGCAGAUAUCAGGAGGAACACCAGUGGCGAAGGCGCCGCUCUGGGCCGUAACUGACGCUGAGGAGCGAAAGCAUGGGUAGCAAACAGGAUUAGAUACCCUGGUAGUCCAUGCCGUAAACGUUGGGCACUAGGUGUGGGGUCUCAACCAACGAGAUCCGCGCCGUCGCUAACGCAUUAAGUGCCCCGCCUGGGGAGUACGGUCGCAAGACUAAAACUC
Molecule: ribosomal RNA, 884 nt
Filed under: uncultured bacterium
Lineage: Bacteria
Description: bacterial SSU rRNA
Rfam family: Bacterial small subunit ribosomal RNA
Source: RNAcentral